Molecule: long non-coding RNA, 2725 nt
Organism: Panthera uncia (snow leopard)
Lineage: Eukaryota; Metazoa; Chordata; Mammalia; Carnivora; Felidae
Exons: 3
Source: RefSeq, a predicted model, not a curated record
GCUGUCAGCUCAGAGCCCGACACGAGGCUCGAGCCCAUGAACCGUGAGAUCAUGACCUGAGCCAAAGUGAGACGCUCAACUGACUGAGCCACCCAAGCGCCCUUCUCAAAGUUUCUUGUUCUGAUUUAUCUCCCUUUUUUUUUUUGUAUUUUCUUUAACUUAUUUUUUUAAUUUACAUCCAAGUUAGUUAGCAUAUAGUGCAACAAUGAUUUCAGGAGUAGAUUCCUUGGUGCCCCUUUACCCAUUUAGCCCAUCCCCCCUCCCACAACCCCUCCAGUAACCCUCUGUUUGUUCUCUGUAUUUAAAAAUCCCUUAUGUUUUGUCCCACUCCCUGUUUUUAUAUAAUUUUUGCUUCCCUUCCCUUAUGUUCAUCUGUUUUGUCUCUUAAAGUCCUCAUAUGAGUGAAGUCAUAUGACACUUGUCUUUCUCUGACUAAUGUCACUUAGCAUAAUACCCUCCAGUUCCAUCCACGUAGUUGCAAAUGGCCUUUUUUUUUUUUUAAUUUUUUAAUGUUUGUUUUAUUUUUGAGAGAGAGAACGUGUGUGCACAAGCAGGGGAGGGGCAGAGAAAGGGAGACAGAGGAUCCGAAGCAGGCUCCGUGCUGACAGCAGAGGAGCCCAACGCAGGGCUCGAACUCAUGGACCGCGAGAUCAUGACCUGAGCCCAAGCUGGGUGCUUAACCCUGACUGAGCCACCCGGGCGCCCCAAUCUCCCUUUUUCUCGUCUGCCUCUCCGCUGGAAUCUACGCCCCCUGAGGGGAGGGCCUCUCUGUCUUUCCUUCCACCGUCUCCCCAGCCCCAGAGCUGGGCCUAGCCCUGGACAGUCGGGUACUCCCUGUAGCUGUCACCAACCGUGAGGCCCGCCUCGGGAUGAAGGUCUUGGUGUCUGUUCCCGUCCGCACUUCUCUGGAGGCAGCUUUGCGGGUAUGAACGCACUUCAGAUUCCCAAAGCACUUUCAAAUAAAUGCACUGCCUCGUUGGUACCUCAUCUCACAACUCAAACCCAUUGUUCCACUGGGUCAUGUUACAGAUGUGCGUAUAUUCAGACUCACUGCAUUGGGGUGUGGGGCGGUAGCACUCUAAUCUCCCAGAUUCUCGUAGGCUCUGGGUUGUUCUAGGACUCUGUUGAUGCAGGUGUUACCUUUAGGUCUCAGCCAGGGAAACUCUAAAACGCUUGCUCUCUUCCAUGGCUGGGACAUCCCACUUUCUCUUCUGCUCUGGGGCCUUGGAAUUAGAGCAGGACCUCUAAAUAGCACAGAGUACUUAGGACUUAGCAUUCUGCCCUCUCAGGUUCACGGAUAUUCGUCGGCAAGUGAGGCUUGGAGGCGAAGGGACCCAGCCUCCAGGAAAGUGGCGAAGGCCGGUCUAGAACUCCGCUGCAGAACCCUCCGGUCGGACUCCAAGCCGAGGGCCCGGCUCACCACGCGCAUCUGUAUGCGGAUUCACUUCCAGCUGCCUGGGGGGUGGAGCUCUUCAUGGUCUAAAUUGUUAAAAUCGUAAUGGCAUCUUUAGGUGCCUUUAUUAAGCUCAUUAAGGGCUUAUGAGGUCUUGCCCUGGCUUUCCGCUGGAUCCUGCAGCGGGAGAGGGAGGCGAGGCUCCCAGCUGUGCCCAUGUGAUGGCGUGCAUGGAAACUCCUCAAAGGACAGCAGAGAUCCAUACUGACUGGGAACUCGGCAAAGAUAAGCCCGCGUGGGUGUGCAGGGACACAUAGGCACCGUCUGGAAGGAUGUGCUUCAGAAUGCCAGCAGGGCCAUGGGGCGCCUGGGUGGCUCAGGAGGUUAAGCAUCUGACCCUUGGUUUCGGCUCGGGUCAUGAUCUCACGGCUUCGUGGGUUCGAGCCCCACAUCGGGUUCCUCCGCGCUGAGGGUGCAGAGCCUGCCCGGGAGUCUCUGCCUCCUUCUCUCUCUGCCCCUCCCCCACUCACAUUGUCUCUGUCUCUCUCAAAAUAAAUAAACUUAAAAAAAAAAAAAGAAGAAGAAUGUCAAUAGUGGCGUCCCUGGGGAUGGCCUUCUGAGUGAUCUUUCAGUCUCUUCUUUAUGUUUUUUGGAACUGUCUGAAUUUUUUUUUUUUUUUAUAAUGAGCAAGCAUUUCCUUUAUAAUCAGAAAAAGAAAUAAAUAGAGUCAUUUUCAUCUUGAAAAGGAAUUGAAGACAGCCCCUGAAUAGAAAUAAAGGAAGGGGAAGAGUGCUUAUGAAGUGCGUGAUCGGUGUUUUCAGUCGGAUCACUCAGGGGGACGUCCCGCAGCGCUCCUCUUUCUCAGGAUCCCGGUGAUUAACGUCACAAGCCCUUCCCGGAGACGGUGCAGCGAGACGCUGGAGGAGAACCGAGAAGUGAGACGUCAAGAGCCCAAGCAGAAGAGGGGCAGAGAGAGGACAGAAGAUCCAAAGUGGGCUCCACACCGACAGCAGCAAGUCCGAUGGGCUCGAACUCAUGAACGGUGAGAUCAGAACCUGAGCCAAAGUCGGAUGCUCAACCGACUGAGCCACCCAGGCACCCCUCACAAGUGUUUUUAAAGAAAUACAUAGUCAUUUCACAAAAAUGAAAUGUCAUAUAUGGUAGGACAAAAUUAAAUAUUAUAAACCAGAAAAAUUGUUUAUGGUUCUGCAUAGAUAUAAAAAUAUUAUCAAAACAUUCAUAUUAUCCCUUCAAAUAAAAAAAUAAAAUUAAACAUUCUUUAAAAAAUAAUUUAAGAAAAAGAAAAUGGUCAGUUUAAUGGUCAGUUUUAAG